This 444-nucleotide ribosomal RNA is filed under the name Flavobacterium sp. 01WB01.1-22. RNAcentral describes it as "bacterial SSU rRNA". It matches the Rfam family "Bacterial small subunit ribosomal RNA", at positions 1 to 454 of the family's 1533-position model. RNAcentral also lists the same sequence under 9 other names. Lineage: Bacteria; Pseudomonadati; Bacteroidota; Flavobacteriia; Flavobacteriales; Flavobacteriaceae. The record is from RNAcentral.
UGAGCUUGAUCCUGGCUCAGGAUGAACGCUAGCGGCAGGCUUAACACAUGCAAGUCGAGGGGUAGAAGUCUUCGGACUUUGAGACCGGCGCACGGGUGCGUAACGCGUAUGCAAUCUACCUUUUACAGAGGGAUAGCCCAGAGAAAUUUGGAUUAAUACCUCAUAGUAUAAUGACUCGGCAUCGAGAUAUUAUUAAAGUCACAACGGUAAAAGAUGAGCAUGCGUCCCAUUAGCUAGUUGGUAAGGUAACGGCUUACCAAGGCUACGAUGGGUAGGGGUCCUGAGAGGGAGAUCCCCCACACUGGUACUGAGACACGGACCAGACUCCUACGGGAGGCAGCAGUGAGGAAUAUUGGACAAUGGGCGCAAGCCUGAUCCAGCCAUGCCGCGUGCAGGAUGACGGUCCUAUGGAUUGUAAACUGCUUUUAUACGAGAAGAAACACU